RNAcentral lists this ribosomal RNA (253 nucleotides) under uncultured bacterium. RNAcentral's name for it is "partial 16S ribosomal RNA". It matches the Rfam family "Bacterial small subunit ribosomal RNA", at positions 524 to 776 of the family's 1533-position model. The record is from RNAcentral.
UACAGAGGGUGCGAGCGUUAAUCGGAAUUACUGGGCGUAAAGGGCGCGUAGGCGGGAUGGCAAGUCGGUCGUGAAAUCCUUCGGCCCAACCGAAGAACGUCGAUCGAUACUGCUGUUCUAGAGGAUUGCAGAGGAGACUGGAAUUCCCGGUGUAGCGGUGAAAUGCGCAGAUAUCAGGAGGAACACCGGUGGCGAAGGCGGGUCUCUGGGCAGCAACUGACGCUGAGGAGCGAAAGCGCGGGGAGCGAACAGG